UGGGGAAUAUUGCGCAAUGGAGGAAACUCUGACGCAGCGACGCCGCGUGAGCGAAGAAGGCCUUCGGGUCGUAAAGCUCUGUUCUUGGGGACGAAAAAGAUGACGGUACCCAAGGAGAAAGCCCCGGCUAACUACGUGCCAGCAGCCGCGGUAAUACGUAGGGGGCGAGCGUUGUCCGGAAUUACUGGGCGUAAAGGGCGUGUAGGCGGCCAUGCAAGUCAAGUGUGAAAUGCCACGGCUUAACCGAGGCACUGCACAUGAAACUGUAUGGCUUGAGUGCAGGAGAGGGAAGUGGAAUUCCUAGUGUAGCGGUGAAAUGCGUAGAUAUUAGGAGGAACACCAGUGGCGAAGGCGACUUCCUGGACUGUAACUGACGCUGAGGCGCGAAAGCGUGGGUAGCAAACAGG
RNAcentral lists this ribosomal RNA (407 nucleotides) under uncultured prokaryote. RNAcentral's name for it is "bacterial SSU rRNA". It matches the Rfam family "Bacterial small subunit ribosomal RNA", at positions 355 to 776 of the family's 1533-position model. RNAcentral also lists the same sequence under 1 other name. The record is from RNAcentral.